This 465-nucleotide ribosomal RNA is filed under the name uncultured bacterium. RNAcentral's name for it is "partial 16S ribosomal RNA". It matches the Rfam family "Bacterial small subunit ribosomal RNA", at positions 28 to 507 of the family's 1533-position model. The record is from RNAcentral.
GACGAACGCUGGCGGCGUGCUUAACACAUGCAAGUCGUACGGUAAGGCCCUUUCGGGGGUACACGAGUGGCGAACGGGUGAGUAACACGUGAGUAACCUGCCCACAACUUUGGGAUAACGCUAGGAAACUGGUGCUAAUACUGGAUAUGUGCUCCUGCUGCAUGGUGGGGGUUGGAAAGCUCCGGCGGUUGUGGAUGUACUCGCGGCCUAUCAGCUUGUUGGUGGGGUAGUGGCCUACCAAGGCGGCGACGGGUAGCCGGCCUGAGAGGGUGACCGGCCACAUUGGGACUGAGAUACGGCCCAGACUCCUACGGGAGGCAGCAGUGGGGAAUAUUGCACAAUGGGCGCAAGCCUGAUGCAGCAACGCCGCGUGCGGGAUGACGGCCUUCGGGUUGUAAACCGCUUUCAGCAGGGACGAAGCUUUUUGUGACGGUACCUGCAGAAGAAGCACCGGCUAACUACGUG